RNAcentral lists this ribosomal RNA (256 nucleotides) under uncultured bacterium. RNAcentral's name for it is "partial 16S ribosomal RNA". It matches the Rfam family "Bacterial small subunit ribosomal RNA", at positions 524 to 776 of the family's 1533-position model. The record is from RNAcentral.
UACAGAGGGUGCGAGCGUUUAAUCGGAGUUACUGGGCGUAAAGGGCGCGUAGGCGGUUGUUUUAAGUGAGAUGUGAAAUCCCUGGGCUUAACCUAGGAACUGCAUCUCAUACUGGACAGCUAGAGUAUUGUAGAGGGUAGUGGAAUUUCCGGUGUAGCGGUGAAAUGCGUAGAGAUCGGAAGGAACACCAGUGGCGAAGGCGGCUACCUGGACAAAUACUGACGCUGAGGCGCGAAAGCGUGGGGGAGCAAACAGG